Molecule: long non-coding RNA, 424 nt
Filed under: Medicago truncatula (barrel medic)
Lineage: Eukaryota; Viridiplantae; Streptophyta; Magnoliopsida; Fabales; Fabaceae
Description: lncRNA gene9597
Source: RNAcentral
CUUCCAUAAAAAAAAAAAAAGAUACGGGUUUAGAGUUUUGUAAUUUAAUUUGUUUGUAACUGAAUAAGGUUUACCUGUUUUCAUUGCAGAAUGUUAGCAGUGUUAGCGCUUUAGAAGCACUAUGUAAUAUGGCUCUGGUAAAGGUCUAAAUAGCGCUUUAAAAUAAGUAAAAAGCGCUAUCUAAAGGUGCCUUUCUAUAGUGUUUUUGCCUUUAAAUGCUAUAUCUUAGAAUGGCUUUAGAUAGCGCUUUCACUUCUAUGCGCUAUCUAAGGAUGAUGUUAGAUAGCGCCUUUUAGUUUAUAAGCACUUUUUCAAAGAUAAGUACUACUGCAAUUUUAUUUUUCUAUAUUAAAAUCUAAAUAUAUUGAUUAUACAUAAAAGUCAAUAUUUUAUACUGUAGCAAACAAAAUACAUAUAUAUUUUU